Molecule: ribosomal RNA, 253 nt
Filed under: uncultured bacterium
Lineage: Bacteria
Description: partial 16S ribosomal RNA
Rfam family: Bacterial small subunit ribosomal RNA
Source: RNAcentral
UACGUAGGGGGCAAGCGUUAAUCGGAAUUACUGGGCGUAAAGCGUGCGCAGGCGGUUUUGUAAGACUGUCGUGAAAUCCCCGGGCUUAACCUGGGAAUGGCGAUGGUGACUGCAAGGCUAGAGUUUGGCAGAGGGGGGUAGAAUUCCACGUGUAGCAGUGAAAUGCGUAGAGAUGUGGAGGAACACCGAUGGCGAAGGCAGCCCCCUGGGUCAAGACUGACGCUCAUGCACGAAAGCGUGGGGAGCAAACAGG